CCGGGAGCGCGGGGCCAGCCGGGGUUCGUAGUCCCCGCCGGCCGCUGUCGACGAGGGGCGCGGCCGCGCCGAGGCACUGCGCUACGUUGCGCGGCGUGCAGCGGGACGAGCGUAUAAGGGGCUGGCGGCGAGCGCGGCUCAGCCAGUCCGUCCGUCCGCCUGCCCGUCCGUCAGAACAAUGCCAUCGCCGCCAGAGCCGGGCAGCCGCGGCUGAGGGGCGGCGGAGCAGCCGGGCGGGACGCGCUCCUCGAGCAGCGCCGCUCCGAGCGGGGGAGCCGCCGCCAGCAUGUGGAUCCCCACGGAGCACGAGAAUAAUAGCUGGUUUUCGAGGAACAGUCCCACAUGGCCUCUCACUGGAGAUUGGAGACACAGUUCAGAUACUGGAGAAGUGCGAUGGAUGGUACAGAGGAUUUGCCUUAAAAAACCCAAAUGUUAAGGUAAAGAUCAAUUACAGUUUUGCACUUUGGCAAAAAUGUGUAUUUACUUCUUAAAAAGUUUAUAGUCUCCAUAUAAGUAGAUUAUAUUUACCCUUAAAAGAAAACUGGAUCUUAGUGAUAAGUAUAUUAUUGGUACUGCAUGAAUUAGAUUUGGACAAUGAUUACACUUCUCAAAGGCUCUUGUGCAUUUGGAUGACUUUACAAAUCAAAGGCUCUGGCAAAUUUUCUUUUAAUCUGAUUUUUAGAAGCUAAGUUAUAGGGAAAAGUCUACGGAGAAUGGAAACUGUAAACAAUGUUAGAAAAGUUAAUUAGACUGUGCCUAUUUUCUUGAUGGUAUAUAUUAGUGCACAGUCGCCAUUGGAGAUGUAUAUGGAGUAUCAGUUGAAAAAAAUUUGUCUGUUUCCAUGUAAAAUACAUUUUUCUUUUUUUUCCUUGUUGUGUAGUCUUUUAUUUCCAUGGGAGUGUAGCUGACAGACUUCACUGUUUGGUUGGUUUUUGUUGCGUUCAGACAUGAAAUAUUAUGAUAUUCAUGCACUUAUUUUUUUCAUCAUUUGUUCAUCUUGAAUGAGUUUUAGAUUUUCCUAUUUUAGCUGUCUUUCUGUUUUCUUACUGUCCUGUUGACUGUCAGUAUAAAGUGUUUGUUUUUCAUAUGGGAAACCAUUUCAAGACUUCUUUUCCUUCAACACAAUACUGAAAUCACUUGUUUUUCCUUUAACUCACGUUGUCAGCUUAUCUCCUUUUUCUUUUUUUUUUCCCCUUUCCUUCUUCAUUUCCAAGCUUCUUCAGCUGCAAAGUAGGGCAUAUAAUAUAUAAAUUUCAGAAGUUUCUGGGGCUCCUAUCAUACAAGUCACUGGUUUCUUGUCCUUAAGCUUUCAGUCUCUGCUCACAUAAAUUUGCUUUGCUUUAUGUGGAGGGUCAGUGUGAGAAAUAAAUCUAGCCGGUGUCUAAUCUGACAUUUAUUACUUUGACCUCACUGAUAAAUAUUACAAUUUGAUUUAUAAGACAUGAGCAGUUGGUAUUUAUCGCAUCUUCAGUGUCUUUUGUUGCAGUUCUCACCACAUGUUUGCUGUCACAGUUUCUUUGUGGUCUGUCAAAUGUGUUGAUAGAAGUUAUGAAUAGGUUUUCUAAACAUGACUUGAUGUGUGAAGGAACGAGACAGAUAUUUUCUACUUUCAUAGAAAAAAGGAAGGGAAACAGUUUUCUGAACUGGAUUUUUGAAGGGAGCCUCUCCAAAAGUAAAAUAGGAACACCUUGUAAGUCAGCUUAUAAUUGGUAUUGCUCUGUCAAGGUUCUCCUGUUGUUAUUCCAUCAGCUUAGAUGCUCAAAGAAAUUAUCUGUGGCAGCUGGUCUGCAGUGCCCCGUGUAUGCACCAUCCUGAUUUCUGGCACAUUGUUACAAAUGCCAAAGCUACACGUCUUACUGUCCUUGGGAGAUGCUCUCCUGAACUACUUCACGCUACUGAGGAGAAGGAGCAUUCUCAAGGGCAGCUGAUGUUACACAGUAGAUGCCUUUUUUUUCAAAGGUCUAACAAUGUUUUCUGUUAAAAGAAAAUGGGGCACCUUCACAGUGGAAAGCUGUAUGUAGCAGGGCUUAUAAUAAGGAAGGGCACACUUACAUUUUCCUUCACUGAAUUAUGUAGCUAGCGGUAGUGUAUUAUGUUCUAAGCCAGUAUAUAGAAUCUGAAUUGCUUAAUUUUGCUUACCAUUAUGACUAAUGAAGGUUAGUGUGGUGCAAGUGCUGUGACACUGUUAUCCAUGCAAAAGAACAGUGAAGAAUGCUUGGCUAACUAGAAAGGACCACUCCUGUCUGAACACUGAGGCUCUUUGGUGUGCAUCUACUGCACCUUUCAGGUUUGCUGCAUGGCACAGUAACUCAUAAAUAAAGUUUUAUUUCUUAAUUUAUCUUUAUUUAUUUUUAUUGGAAUUCAUUAAUUUCAUUUAUUUUGCAAAUCUGUACUGAAGAGAUCUUGUUAAGAUCGUGUUGGUAAAAAUUUCUCAGUGGGAAUAUUAAUAAAUUAUUUAGGAUAAAUGCGCUGUCAAGCAAUCUUAUACAUGCUUUACAACUUUAUCUUCUAAUUUUCUUAAAUAUUGAAAGACUAAAACUCUACUAAAGACAUUUUUGUUUCCUUUAGAUCUGCACUGAGUAUAUAUUGAAUUCUUUUUUGUGUAUGCUUGUUGGUAAUUAUUUGGAGGACUUUUAAUUCAGCAUGCAUUUGCAUAUAAAAUGCUGCUUUAAGAUUAUUCUCCAAACUCACUAAAGGGAAUUUUUUUCAUUGUUUUUACCUAACCUAUUCUGUUUUUCAGGGUAUCUUUCCAUCCAACUACAUUCACUUGAAAAAUGCAUGCGUUAAGAACAAAGGGUAGGUGAAAUUUGGGGGAUUCAGAUAUUUAAACAUGGUAAUUUACUUGUGCCAAAGAUCAUUUGCGAAUCUGGCAGGGAGUGAUGAUUUCAUUAUAAUAUUUCAUCUCCAGCCUUUGGCCAGAAGACUUGAAAUGGCUGUCCUUAGCUAACAUGGUGCUCCUGUGUGGUAAUGAAAUCAGUGUGUUAUAUGCUUGAAGAACAUGCUGUACAGCUGGGAAUGUCAGUCAGUGUUGUCCAGAGUAAAGAGAAAACAAUCACAUCUUCACUGCCUGUUGUUAAGUUUGGUUUAGAAAAAAGUUCUUGCCCUAAUUACACAUUAUUCUGUACAGAAAUAUUUGUUUAAGAUUAGUAGUUGUUUUCUUUAAAGAGACCAGCUGUACCAUGGCAGACCGCUGACAUUUUACAAAAACAAAUGUUAAGAUUAAGUGUCAAUUCAGUGGCAAAAUAUUUCACCAAAACUGUAAAGGAAUAGAGAUGUUCUUCCCUUACUGCCUUCCUUCAGAUGAUGAAAAGCAAAUAUCUAUUCUUGAUAAUGACUGAUCUCAUGUCAUUUUUAGAAGAGUUAAGAAAAAAAAAGAACAAUAGAUUAAAAUUAGUACAAAGUUUUUUGAAACUAAAAUGUUCUGAGUAAAAUAAAGUGAUUUUUUUUUGGAAAUUUAAUACUUUCUUUGAAAGUAUCACUUUUAAAUAAUUAUACUUGGCAGUGAUGUUAACACAGUCUUUUCCAAAGUUUUACGUAAUUUGGGAGUGUCCACAUUUAUGUAAUGGUUUAAAACCUCUUAAAAUAAAAGCAUUUAGUAUCAAAUUAGAUGGAGGCCUACAAAACAGGUGCGGAUGACUUUGAUUUUGGGUGCUUGGAUGAAUGUGUAGGUCAGUGUUUCCUGACUGGCAAAAAUGAACCUUGAAGACUGAUUUAUAUAUUUAAAUAAAUAUUUGAAAGUCUCAUUCACACAGGUAAAAAUGAGAAUUGCAAUGCUACUAAAAAGAGUUGUUUGCUGUAGAGUUCAGUGUACCCAUGGUUUAUUGUACCAUGGGUACAGGAUCAUUUCUCCUUUGGAAGUGAUUGUAGAUUAAGUUGAGGGUUUACUGAAAUAAAAUUGUUGUAAACUGUCAACAAAGCUUAAAUGUAGAAUAAUUUUUUCUUAGCAGACGCAGUGACAACAUUUGCAGGGAGUUCAAUCUUAUUUGUCUGUAUUUUCUUCUGUAGUCAGUAUUUCCUGUUCAGGUGAUGUACAGAGCAUCAGGGGCUCUCACACUGUUGUGUUAACUUGAUGGAAGGGAAAUUAUAUCAUGAGAAAGGUACUUUAGGUGUGAAUGCAGACUUUAAAAUGUACUGUGUGUAAGAACAAAGUGAUAGCGAUGAUGGUGUAUAAAGUGAUGGUGUGAUUUAGAGUUUGAUCACACUCUUGAUCAAGCCAACUCAGGUUUUUCUAGCUCAGCACUGAAGAGUAAGGAACUCACUCACACUGUACCAAUUUUAUUUUCAAGUCUAAUAUACAUGUUCAGCUGAAGAAAUGACAUUCUCUGUCUUAUUUCUAUAAACAGAUGUGUUUAAAAAGUGUGGCAGCAGUCGCUGAUUUGCAGUCUAAGCUAAAGUGGCAAGAUCAUUUUGAAAUCCUUUGAAAAGCAUGGGAAUUACUUUGACAUAAAAGUAGCGUUUGAUGUGCUUAUCUCAUGGUAAAAUGCUUGCCUUGACUUCUCUAGGACCAAUACUUUCCAUGAAGAUUAAAGAAAAUGUAUAAAUAAAAAGUCUAGUGGGUUGAAGGAACUCCCUUGUAAUUUAAUUGACAUUGCUGUUGGCAGGAGGAAGUCUUUAUGUUAGUAACUGUACUGUGAUUUAUAAUGCUUAUGUAAUACCAUGUGUUCCUCUGCACGUUUCAGACAAUUUGAAAUGGUUAUUCCAACAGAAGACUCUGUUAUUACAGAGAUGACAUCAACUUUAAGAGACUGGGGAACGAUGUGGAAACAACUCUAUGUGGCAAGUACUUUGAAUAAGUUGCUUUGAAUACCAGCUCAAAAGACCAGAUAUGUCGUUAAAAUAUAGCUUUUCCUGCAUGAAAGAAAGGAAAAAGAUGAUUGGAGGUAGUGGACAUUUUGUGAAUCUCUUUUCCUGUAGGAUUUAUUUGAUUGUUGCUUUUCUAUUUUAAUUUAACUUGUCUUUUGUGGUUUACUGCUCACUCUGACCAAAUAAAUAAGUCAGAGAAUCUACAAUUCUUGUUUUAAUAUAACUUCAAAAAUAAUUAAAUGUGGAAAUGAGAUGUCAGACUCCUCGACUAGUAUUAUUAUUAUACCUAUAGAUUAUAAUAGCAGAUCCAAUGCAUUAAUUGAGAGAAAAUGAUCUUCUUAAUGGUUGAGUGACCAGAUUAUGUAUAUGCAAAAAGAAGAAACAAAAAGACAUUAUUAAUAAACAGUAUAAAAAAGAACUGCAUUUUCAGGCAAAGUUUUGUAUAAACAACAUUAAAUUUUCAGUUGCAGAAAGUCUCUAAGCCAGUUGAUUUGAUUCGUACUCAUUUUCUCAUAGGUCUUAUUUUCUCUUACAUCUACACAUUCAUAAGUACCAAGGCAUGUCCAUUUUACUUGACCAGGGUCUCUUGUAUAUGACAUAGUGAUCAAAGGAUGCCAGCUGUUGAGUCCUCACUGACAAGGGGAGCCGGAAGUGGUUCUUGAGUAACAGCAAUGAGCAAAUUUUGGGCCUAGCAGUUACACACUUCUGAAGUGGCGUCUGGUACUUCUGCCUUAUUACUUUGUCUCACACUUCAUGUGUCUUCAGCAAAAGUCCCAUGUUUCUCAGUUCUCUUAUUUUCCUUAUCUGGAUAUGGUGUGGUGCUGUUUUUUUUCUCUUUCUUCCUGAUGUCAUCACUUCUGUUUGUUUUGUCACCCUUGCUUGACUGAAAUCACACUUAAGGUGCUCUGUGGCAAUUAAUAUAUACUGUCCCUUUAAUUUAUUCCUAUGUAUACAUUUUCAUAUUUCAUUUGCACUUGUCUUACAAAUUCUAUUACAACUACUUACAGAAGGUCCCUCUCUGAACUUACUUUGUUCUUCAUAGUGAAAAAUUCUACCAUUUGCAUCACUUAAUUGGCUGCCACUAUGGAUAGAAUUUAUUUGGUUUUGGUAUACUUAAAACACAUAUAAAACUGUUUAGUCUUUAAUCUCUCUAUUUUGACUGAAAUUUAGUCUUCUCUCACCAUUCUGUAUCUUUUCAAUUUUUUUUUAAUCCUUAUAAUCUAACUUGGAAUAAUUAUCAUCAAUUCCCUCAUCUCAUACCUCCUGUUUCCUCUCUUCACUUGGGUAUUUUUUUUUUUAACUUUCCCUGUGGAGUUGUCUUUAAAGACUGAAAUGAAAUAUUUAAAGCGUUGCCUCCAUUUAAACUUACUAAAUUGUGAUUUGUAUUGUGAUCGUCUUUGGUUCUUAACAUUUCACCUUCUGAUCUGCUACACUGAAUCCUAACCAUGACUUAAACUUGAUACCAUGUGCAUGAAUCAGAUGGAAUCAAAAUGUUUUCCCUUGCAUCUCCACAGUUUCCCUGCAUCUCCUCAUAGUUCAGACCUCCAAGCCCUGGUCUUAACUCCUUGCCAAACUUGAUGAUUAUGACUUAAACUGUGAGAAGCUUAGCUAUCUUCUCUUAUGUAAUAAAGUCCAUAAGUCAGGAUGAUUCAGAAGCAGCUGGACUGCUUCCUUUUGAGUGAUGAUUGUAGGGAUUGUGUUCAGAGUGACUACUCAGAACCAGGCGACACUUCUGAAACCUGCAGUUGGUACAGUGGCUAGUUUGCUUAGUGAAAGCUUUCCUGAAAGAACCUAAAAGAUCAUGUUGAAUUCAGUGUUAUACAGUAUCAAAUUAGACUUGACAGUCAAGCUAAAAAGUUUAGCAGUAUGAACUGUUUCUGAGGUGAGCUUCAAAACUAUAUUGAGAGUUCUCUAGAUUACAAUGGGAAGUUUUUUACCUAACUGUCUUAAGCACAUCUAAGUGUAAUUGCUUUCUGUGCUUACAUAUGAGGAAGGGUAUUAGUGGAAAAGAAGCAAAAUCACAAUCUGCUUUAGUAGAGAACCAAAUCUAUAAAGCAGACACGUUUGCUUGCAGGGCCACUCAGCGCUCUGAGAUGUAAGAAACUCAGACAUAUGCUAAACCUUUGGAAAAAAGGGUGCUGCCUUGAAAACGUCAUUUGGAGCUUAGUGUUGUUGUGAAAUACUAGCAGGUCUCUUGUAUUCUGCUAAAUAUUUUACCUCAGUAGAGUUUAUCAUCGCGUAUCAAAAAGAAAGAUACACAUGAAUCAGUGAUUAUUUGAUUUUUUUUUCUUUUUAAUGAAAGAUGAAAUCUCUGUAACUAAUGGAAAACUGUGAGCACAAGCAAUCAGCCUAUGCACCGCUCCCAUAAAGACUUUUUCAGUUUCUUGCUUUUAGACACAAUUUACGUGACCUGGUUUUUUGGCUUUCUUUUACUUAUAAAGUUCAUAUAUUCUGUUGUUCUUACUGAAGCUGACUCUUUUUCAGCAACCUUUUUCUUCGCUGAUGUUAUUACUGUGUGUUCGAAACACACUGAUUUUCCUUUUUUUCUCCAGACAGCCAAAAGAAACAAUAAAUCAGUGCUUAUUUUAGCGAGCUUAUGAAGUGAAUGAAUGUGAAAUAAAAAAGGCAAAUUUGUCACACAGCAGUGUUCUUCAGAGCUCGUGGAAUAUAAAGUGUACUGACAGAGAAUAAUGAUGCUUCUAAGUGAGUUUUAUCUUUUCAUGGCAAUUAUCUAGCAGUAAUAGCUGAAAUUUGGUUUUAUGUCAUUUUUUUUUUCUUAGGAAGAAGUAAAAGGGAAAUGAGUGGCUUAGGGUGGUUACUUUUUUGUGUUGUUUGUUUUUUAGCAAAAAUAAGCAGAACAGAUCUGAAUUUUCAAUGUUUUUUUUGUGAUGCAUCACUUAAUAGAAGUUGCAAUAAUUUCCUCAAGCUACAGUUUCUUAGAAAAAUUAUAUUAAGUAAAACUACCUACAGUAAAGCGAAGGAAGAGUUAAAAGAACUUCUGCUGUUAGGGAGGAAACCAUCAUGGGAAAUGGUUUAUGUCAUUAACUGGUACGUAAUUAGAGUAGGAGGAUGUGUUUUAUUCAUAUUCAUGUAAUUUCUUCUAUUUUGCAGUUAGAUGAAGCAGAACCGUCUGGAAGAGAUUUCUGUCUACAUGAGUCUAUUUAUUUACAGUUAGGCCAUGCUGUGUACAUUUAUGUCCCUGAAAGAGUUAAAAGAACUUUGAUGCUAUGUGAUUCGGAGUUUGAAUUCUAGGAGUUGUUCCCUUUUGAUCCCCUUAUGUGUGUGAGUUCAAAUGGUCUUGAAUUAUGCUGUCACGGUUCCAGUUUUGAUGAAACAACAUAUAAUGAAAAUGCUUUCAGAAUAAAACAGUGCUGUGACAUUCAACAAAUUUUUAUUGAAUCUUUGUCAUAUCUGUCAUAUAAAUCAGGCUGUGUAAACGUGUGGUGUUAGGAGUUUGAGUGAAAUUUUAGAGUGCAAAGGCAUUACCUGUGGUAAGAUCUGAAAUGAUUUUGUUAACAUGUGCAUGCAUACAUACAGGUAAAGAGGUCACAGCAUUAGAGGAAGGAAGAGGAUCACGACUAACUAAGGGAAUAAGGAUGGAAGGGUAUUGAUUUCCAUACCACAUCUGUAUUCAUUAGGACUGUCAGUUGGUGUAGAUGCAAUUCUUUAUUUAUCUCACAGAGAAAUGAGGGCGAUCUCUUUCACCGACUGUGGCAUAUAAUGAAUGAAAUCCUAGACCUGCGAAGGCAAGUCCUGGUUGGCCACCUCACCCAUGAUCGAAUGAAGGAUGUGAAGCGACACAUCACUGCUCGUCUGGACUGGGGCAAUGAACAACUGGGGCUUGACUUAGUUCCAAGAAAAGAAUAUGCUAUGGUGGAUCCUGAAGAGAUCAGCAUUACGGAGCUCUACAGGCUGAUGGAGCAUCGUCAUCGAAAAAAAGACACGCCUGUACCAGCUAGCAGCCACCAUCUUUUUGUUCAGAUGAAGAGUCUAAUGUGCUCCAAUCUGGGAGAGGAACUGGAAGUAAUCUUCUCACUCUUCGAUAGUAAAGAAAAUCGACCCAUCAGGUAGCAUAUGAUUUUUCAGUGGGUACUGAUUUUACAUUGUCAGUGUGUGCUGUUUUGAUCUUGGUUAUAAAUUCCACAUUUAAAAACAAGCAAAAGAUUUUUUUUGCUUUGUCUUGUAAUCCAGUUCCUAUACUUAAUAUUUGCCAGUAUCAUUUUGGAUUUAAAUAAUAUAUUUUUCUCUGCCUUUUUUACUUAUUUCAGUUUUUAGCUGGUUUUACUUGAGAGGGAACAUAUAUACAUCUGUGCAUACAGACUGAGUAUUAGUUUUGUGACUCAAAGGUUACUUUUUAGUAUCUCUAUUUUCCUUUCUCCUAAUCAGUGCACAUUAAAACUUGCAGUGUUGCUUGCUCUGUAAUAUUUAUAAGAUGAAUUCUCCUAGGUACCUCAAACCAGAGAGCUUAGUGAGUUAUGAAAUCGUUUUAUAAUAGGAGCCUGAGGUGCACACUCUUAAUGAAGUAGUCAAACCCGAUCUCACAUCCAUUUAGGGUUUGCUGGCUUUUUUUUCAUUUGGGAACUGAUCCUGUAACUAUUCUUCUGCUUAUCCUAGAGCUGAAAUCCUUUUAACUUUUAAAUGUCCAGUACUUAUUUCUAUUCCUAACAUGUUUCUGGCCAAGAGAGAGGACCUGGGAAUGAACAGGAACAGAAUCAUGAUGCACUCAGCAGAUAUGAUUUAUAGGGGGAGAGCAGAGUUGGUGGAAGAGCCUUCUGAGUUCUGUAUGAGAACUAUGGCAGGAAGACUGAAGGAGCGAUGCCACACUCAUACUUGUACAUUGGUGAUGUAAGACUGGUGAUGGAAGACUGGUCAGAAGGCUCUCAUUGAGAAUUUGCUGCUUGUCAUUACUCAGUGUAUUCUUUCUGUUUUCUCACUACAGAAAGUACAGGUACUAGAAGCAAAAUACCGCAGUCUAAUUUAAGGGUAGCCGCUGGGGAAAUGAAAGACUAGACUUAAAAACAAAUUGCACUUUAGAUAAGACAGAACACAAAUGCACAAAUAGAAAUAAAACCUAUUAUAGUAAGCCUAUUAAUAGGCUAAGAAGUGUUAUUCAGAAUGUGUGCAUAGCCAUGACUGUGUACUAAUUGUCUUUCUAUACGUGUGGUAAUAGGAAUUUGGGGCGUUGCACAUGCACAUUAGACUGAAUUUGACAAAAUGAUUUGUGUGCUUUGUAGUUGUGCAAAAUAGCUACCCACUAUUUGAAGGAAGUUUGUACUGAAUAAAUUGAUUUUUAUAGCUAAUGAAAUCUUUAAAUUGUUAGAACGUUGGCUGCUUAAUACUGACCUGGAAUGCACUUUGGACAUUAGUCACCAAAAACAGUUUACUGUCAUUCCUGAGAGUUAAAUGUGCAUCAGGGCACAUCUUUUGUGUUCAUUUCAGUGAAUGGCAUAGCAGGUGAUGGAUUUAGAUGAGAGCUUCAGACCUUGACAGAAAACAAUUUGAGUGUUAUGGAUUGCUGAAAACAAGGUUAUGGCAGUAGUGGUCGUAUGAAAGCAGAUGGAUUGGAUUUCACAUUCACAUGAAAGCACAAAUUCUAGAGCUGUUUGUCACAUGCUGGCUGUGAUCUGACCUUUAGGUAUUGAUUCCUGACUCCAGUGUCCAUUUGCAGCUGCUUUAUUAUGUGUGAACUUCCUCAUCCCAUUACUGACAAACCUUGAAGAAGUGUGUUGUCAUGAAUCCAAACUGCCUUCUAGAGCAUGGGAGGAAUGACAAGAUGAACUUUGUGGAAGCAGCUUGUUACUAUCUGUAAAACAAACACGCACACCUCCAUACCUCUCACAAAUUAAAAACCCAGGAAGCAAGAACCCCCUCAACAAACACGUUGAAAAAAAUGAAAGCAAGGGAGUUUUCACAAGAAUGUAUUUAAUUUCAAUAUAUAUAUGGAUCAUAGCACGAGUUGGAAUGCAGAUGUGUCCAAGCUGUGGUCUUUGUGGACUAGGUAUGCAAGCAACAUAACCAUGUUGUCCAAGAGUUAAACCAAGGCUAGUUGGUCUUGCUGACACGGCUUUUGUGCUCUUGCUUAAUAUGUGCAUGGCCGUAGUUUCCACACCUAAUCUAUAUUUCGGUCAGUUGACUGCUUGUUAGAGCACAUAAAUUAAAGUCUUGUGUAUGUGUACAUAGCAAUAUGAUAUUUCGUUCAAUACAAAUUGGCAGGAUAUUUCAGAGAUCUUUAUGCCCUUGUUAGUGCUGACACAUGCAUGCAAUAGACCCUGAGGAGAUGAUGUGUGAGAAGAGACUGUGUGCGCAGUCAUUGGAUACUGAGCUUCACACCCUGCAAUGAAGACAAGGCCUACUGGCAGUAAUAGAGGUGUGAGCUGCAAAGUGUGAUACCUGGAUAGAUGUAUUCUUCUGCUAAUUCUGGAUGAUAUUAGCACGUCAAAAAGCUGUGUUUAGCAUUACCUUAAGGUCUGUCACAGCCUACCUGGGUGAUUUGUUUGUUGAUUUCCUAAGUCAUUGCUAAGGAGCCCACAAGAAAAAAGCAAUAAAAAUAGUAGGUGAAACUCUUGUUAACAGAACAGAUAAAAAGUAAGAAACCAUAUAUAGCAAUUUAUGUCCUGAAACAGAACGUUCGACAGAUAUUUGGUUCAAAAUAAAAAUAUAAGAAUAUACAUCACUUAUAAUGUAUGUCUUCAAUUUUGUGGUUACGGUAUUAGAAUGGGAGGCUUUCAUUUCUUUGGGAUUUUUUACUUUUUAUGUAAAUUUUAGUUUUGCAAGCUCUACGUGUGUACCAGGCUUUCCUCAGGUGGUGAUCCUGCUUGUUUGAAUGUGACAAUUGGAAUGCAUAAUGUUGAGCACAGGCCCAUAGGUAGAACUGCUCCAAUAAUGUGGCUUUGUGUAGAUUUCAAUCUGGUGUUCGUUGUCCAGCUGAUGUAAAUAUACAUAAAAUGGGUGAUCUUUGUUGCCUCCUAAAGGAGUUCAUGUGGAAAAAGUAAAAAGAGAACAGCUGAGAUUUAAUGAUAGAAUUUCUGUUCUGAUACUUUUCUAUCUUAAGACUACCUCGGCUUCUUAUCAGAUCAACCUGCAAGCAUAUGAUCUCUGUAUAUACUUAUUUCACUUUUUAUUAACCCCAAGUUCAUGCAAUUGAAAUAGCAGAUUUAAAAGUGAUUGGGGGACUAGAAGCAAUAUUGUCUGUGUUUUCUUGUUGAUAGAUUGAGUGUUUUUUCCCAAACCAUUCUUUGUUUUACAUUACCUGUUUCAUACAUUCAGCGAAGUUUAUUGCACAGAAAUUUUUUUUCAAGUAUCGUCAGUAAAAUGAAUUGCAGUUGUAGGUACUGAGGUGAGGCAAGUAUCUACAGAACAGUAAUGCUUUAGGAAGUUUGAGUCUAGCAACUUUCCUAGUCCAGCUGCAGACUAAUGCAAGAAAAAGCAGACUGGGUGUAGGAUUCUCUGGUCUUAAACAAUUAGCAACAUUCAAGAAGGAAUGCACUGCAUUCCGUCUCCAGAGAAGCAAACUCUACAAUCUCUGUAGGCAGCCUAUUCCAGUGCUCUGUCACCCUCACAGUCAAGAACUUUUUAUCCUGUUCAGAGAAUAUACUUUAUACUUUAUUGUGACAUAUAUUAAGACAUUAUAAAAUGAUCUAAAUCUAUUUGUAUACUGCUGCAGAAUUUGUACAGAAUAUUUUCAUUAUAUUUUGAGUGUUUAAAGAUUUUUGAUAAGAGGAUGUAAUUUGUUGACAUGCAUAGAACAAUACGAUCUUCUUAUCUUUACAGAAUUUACAGCUAUUAUUUUUUUUCUGAUCAACUGUGCUGUGAAAUCAUUUGAAAGAUUUUCAUUUUCCUCUUCCUUUAUUUUAAACCUAUCUGAAUUUAUUAAUAAUGUGAAUAAUGUGCUGCUGUGGGAAGGUCUGUGCUUCAGGGAAGGAAAAAAAUAAAAGGGAAGAGGAGGAUACUCAAUAUAAGGAAGCUAUGGUUUAAUAGCUGAGCUUCAUAUUGUAGUACAAGAAGAAGGCUGUCCUUAGGACAUUGUAAAAUUGUUGUUUUCUGAGACAGUAAUAAGAACUCUCAUACUUAGAAUAUUGUCACUGAACAAUGAUGAAAAAUGAAACUUUUUUUUUGUUGCUAUAGUUAUAGAUUGUUGUUGUUGUUAUAGUUAUAGAUUGUUUGAUAAAAGCAUACUAUAGCAACUGUGUAAAACCAAGUUACAAGCAGAAAGCCCGUUGUGUUAACAGGUCUUGCAUUUGACAUAGUGAGGCUUGAAUUUUGUCUAAUGAUAAAAUAUAACAUAGUGACAUGUAAAAAGAAUAUUGUUGUAUAAAGUAAAAGAAAUUUAGAUAUAAAAUGGAAAACUGCAAUCCUGAAUAUCAGCACAGCUUUUGUCUAAUUCUCAUGUCCCCUAUGGUUUGCCAUAGGAACUAAGUUCAGUAUGUCUUCUUGGCAGGGCUGGAUUCCUACACUGCAGUGUCAGCCACUGUUUUUCUUUGUAGAGACAACUAGAUGAGGAAAAGGAGAAUACUAGUGAUUGCAAUUCCCUUUAUAAAAUAUUCUAAGGAUGGUUGCUGUAGCUUAAGAGACAGUCCAGACUCCCUGAAAGUUAGGGUAUGCAAAUCUGAAUAUUUGAAGGCAUAGCAAGAAACCGAGCAUAGGCCUUUCUUUUCUUGAAGAAUGUAACUUAUUAAUAUGUUUUUCAACUACACCACAACUUUGCUGCUCUUAAAACAAACAAACAAACAAACAAACAAGCAAAAACAUCAAAAAGGGUUUCACCACUCCUCAUAUUUAAAUUCAGUACAUGCUCUUCACCACUUUUUCUUUCUCUAAUUGAUUGUGUUUAAUUAGAAAAGUGUAUAAUUUGUUACCAUGUGGAAAGUCUGUAAUUAGGGAGAAAAGUAAAAGAAAAAGGAAGAUACUUCAUAACAUACGAAUGUGGUUUAAUAUGGUUUAAUAGCUGAGCUUGAUAUUAAAUUGCAAGAAUAAGGUUGUCCUUAGGCCAUAGUAAAAUUGUAGUUUUCUUGAGCAAUAUUAAGUACUGCCUUGAUUAAAAGACAUCUGAUUCAUGUUCUGGAAUCUGUUCAGAUGGAGGUAUCUUAUAGAGUAAUGAACGAAACACCAAGGUUAAGACUUCUGCCAAAGCUUCACAUUUCUUUUUUUGUUUAAUUUUAGAAGGUUUCAUGAUGAAUACAUGGACUGUAUGAUUUGAAAACAGCUCUGAAGACAUGUGACUUUAAGAUCUUUGUUUGAAUUAUAUAUCUAGACUUCUGCUACGGUUAGUUUUAGUCAGUGAAGCUUAGAAAUGUUCAGCCAAUAAAAUGUCUGUAUCUUCUCAGCUCUUUAGAAUCCCCUGAAGUAAUUUUGAGCUGAAUCCAUCCUAUUUCUUUCUUGCUUUCUAUGUGGCUGCUUUAGGUCUCCACAGAGUUUGAGUCUUCAAAAUCAGAAAUAAUUGUUGAAAUCAAAAAGGACAUGGAUAUUCAAUAUUACUUAUCUGACUUCUUGCCAUUAGCCUCUCACAGUGGAAUCUAUAAAGAGAAGUCCCCUGAAUUUGCUCUUAAAAUAUUUGCAAAGAAUUUUACAGUAGGGGGAUCAAAAAUUUGUGGUGCAUGUAUGUACAAAUUUAGAAUUGUUGCUUCAGUGUAUUUUGAAAUUGUUUUCUUAAUAAUAAUAAUAAAAAGGAUUAUCCAAAGGACUCUUUUGUUAUGUUUAAGGAAUACUGUUCCAAUAAAGUGAUCUUCUGAUUGUGUGUGACCUACAAGUGCAUUCCUAGGCAAGUACCUGUUAAAAUAAAUAAGAAGCAGAAAUUAAAAUUGUGAAAACAUUAUUCUGCUUUUGGUAAUGUAUCUUAAUAUUUUUAGUGCUUUGAAUGAAAGGAAAAUUAAGUAAAUUUGUAACUACAUUAUAUUGAAAUAAUUUUUCUUUUUAACAGCUCACAAUCUUUCCUGUAUGUACAAAGAGUUAGAUAAUAAUAGCUUUUCAGGUGAGAUGUGAGAAACUUUGAUGUAGAAAUUAGUGACUUGCCCAGAGAAGAAGUCAAGUAGUGAUAAAGAUUCAGUGAUGCUAGGAGAGGCAAGGUCAAUGUUUGACCUUCUGGCUUCCAGUCUAAGGACUUCUCUAGAUGUGUAGCAGCUGUGAUGAUUUGCUUGCAUCCACCUUAGCGUAAUCAAUGCACACUUUGGGCAACAGAUUUUUUUCUGUUGAAUUUAGGAAGCUAGAGAUAAAUGUUCUUUUGUGAUCACUGCAUUACUGUUGGUAGGAAUCUUAACGUUUGUUUGGGAUGCUAUGAGACACUUUUCUUCUUGAGGCUUCUUUUGUGGCUGGAAAUUACUAUUAAAAAUUAAUUUUUUAAUUAUAUUGGUGUUUGCAAAAGCAUCAAUUCUGUUGCAUUAAUUAUGUAGUAGUAAAAUACAGGCUUAUUUAUGACUUUAUUAUUGCUAAUGAACUGUUACAGUUAAUAUUACUGUGCAGAGUAUUUCUAUAUUUAUAUAAUUACACUGAUUUUAAUACAUGCCUUCACACUUUAAAAAGCUAUGUAUCGUCAAGAGCAUUUACUUCAUGUGGAAGCUAGAAAACUGUAGAAGUUUUUUCUUGAUAGGUAUAAAUCUGAGUGAUGACAUCUGUAUGUGCUUGCUUCAUUAAAACUACAAGUGUAAUAUUGUGCCUAGUUAGUACGUAGUAACUUAUAUUGACUCUGUGUAUAUGCAUAUAUAUAUAUAUAUACAUAUUUUCUAGCUAAACUAACUGUAGGAAUGAUUUGUGUUAUCCCUUAAAUUCACAAUAAGAAGGUGAAGUCAGCCCCUGAUGACUUCCAGAGUUUUCUCUGAUGUGUUCUUCUGUAUCGUUUUGCUUUAUGUUCUUCUUGCUUUGCAAAUUUUCCUUCUUAAAAUGGGAACAGUCCCUGCAUGGUUCUUGGUCAAUUUGUGAAUGGCUCUACUUUAAUGUGAUGCAGCCAUAUGAAUUGUCUCAGUAAAACUUUGUUUUAUGCAUUUCUGUGUCUUCUUACCUUAUAUUCUUCUCUUUUUAUUUCUGUCCAAGUCAAAAGCCUCAUUUGUUUGUUCUUCAACUUUUUAUUCUUUAAAAAAGUGAAAAAUUGUCUUGAUUAAGCUUUAGUUUGUUGCACUAAUUGCACUGAGAAAAGCUAAGACAAUACCUAAAUACCUAAUACCUAAAGCAAAAUUCUGAGCGUACAUAGUUGUAGUAUUAGUUUAUAUUUGGAAAAUGUAAGUAGUCUGUGAUCAUAUUUUCUCAUUUUCUCCUGAGACUUUUCUGUCUUUCAGUUCAGUCCUGGAUGCUGCUGAGCUUUUACCAGAUACUCGGAGGUGUACAGCAUCAUAGUCUGUUCGAAAGUACAUUGUCUCAAGCAUACUCAGUCUAGAUCUGCCAAGAGUCCAGACAGUAGUUAAUUAGCGUUGUUCUAAAAUGCUUCUGUAAAAUCUGUUCCUUGAAUCUGGCGUGCUCAGCUAAUGUUUGAGAAAAGCAAAAUCCAAAGGGCUUAUCAACUUAAUACUGAGCUUUGAUGGUUCGUUUCAUGUCAUCUAAAUUUGCUGUAAGACUGUGAUGUACAGGCAGUGGUGGCCAGUGGGAGUUGCAGAACAGCAGCGGAUGCUCAGAGCCUAGUGUUAACAUCUGUAAAUGUUCAGAGGAUUUUAGUAAAGACAACCUAUGAGGUUGUGUGAUCUGAAUGCCCAGCAUUGGUGAGAGUCUGUCUUGCAGUUUAAUGCAGGAGAAAUCCAAUUCACUAAAACUAUUUUGGAUUGUGAAUCAAAACAUGGAUUGUGGAGACAACCAAGGGAUUUUCUACAAAAGCAAAAAUCUGAUACAAACUAAGCUGAUGAUGUAGAUCUUAAAAUAGCAUAUGUAAGGUGCAUAUUACAGGAUUAUAGUUUGAACAGAGAAAAUUCGUGUAGAACAUGGAGCAACUCAGCUUUUUACCUUGGGUGUUAGCCAUUACAAUUACAUUACAAAGACAUUUUCAUAGUUAAAUGGGAUUUUAGAUGCUUGAUUUCAGUUGAUUUUAGUGUGAGGUGCGCUUACAGGAAAAUACAUAAUUUAAACUCCUGGCACAAGAUAGGAUACUUUGGAUCUCCAAAAGAAGACUGGAAAUGUGUGUUUUUUAGAGCAUUUCAUAAGAGUUCAACAAUCUUGUGUUCUUCAUUAGCUAGUUUCUAAAUCUGUUGUAAUGUGUGAUUAUUUAUGGGAUUUAGGAAGCAUUUGAUAUUUUUCUAUUCUAAAGAAAUAACUGGUAGCUUUUCUUCUGUAAAUUCAGAGUGUGAAGAUUCCCAACGCUUAGAGUAUCAAAGAAUGUAGUGAUGAUUGUAUGCUCUGUGGGUAUCUUAUUUUCUUACCAGCAAAAAAGUUUAGUAAAUGAACCAGCAGUGAGGUUGCACGUACCAAGUCUAUAGUGCAUACUUAUCAGAUGACACAGAUCACAGUUUGCACUGUUAGAUUUUUGGAGAAAUAAAGGGCAUCCGGUCAUAGUACAUACUUUUCCCCUGGUUGUGCUCAUAUCAUUUACAAAGUGCGGCAGUUUGUUGUGGAAGUGGUGAUCUUAGUGUAACCAGAAGAACCUGGGCUCUGGACACUGGAGCUCUGAGACAAAUCCUUCAAUAAAAAGUACAUAUUGUUUUAUUUAUUGUUUUUGUUUGAAAGAUCUCACCAGAUUUUUUUCUCCCCAACUUUGUUGUUUUCAAGAUUGUGUUUAUUAUUCACUGAGAGCCUAACUUUAUUUUUUGCCACAAUUAUGUUCUGAUGCUACACAUACACACACAAAAAAAGUUUAGCAAAUGAAUUUUCUAAAAAAAAAAACUUUCCAAAAAUCAGAUAUCUCAGUGUCCUCUGAAAUACCUACCUUUCUGGUGUAGCUAUUGUAAGACCAUAUUUCUGUUUGUUGUACCUCACUACCCAGAAGUCCUGUCUGUUUCUUUAUUGAAAUUUGGAAACACGGGCAAUUAUCAUCCUGAGGGUGCACUGUGAAAAAGGGAAUGGAGGGUGUUAAGCCAGUUACGUGCAUAUGUUCAGAUAAGCGAGCUUUGUUCUUGUUAUUGAUGAUAUGUAUGAGGAUGCUGCUUCGUCUCCUGCCCAAAGUCCCAGUUGUUUUGCUGACCUUUACAUUUAUGUAGUGUUUGUGCCUCUGUGUGUUAUGACAACAUACUGCAGUAGAAUGCUGACAUUUUUUCCUUAAAUCUGCAAUGGCACACACGGUUCUUGUCUAGCUAUAUCUUCUCUAAGCCACUUUCUUAAUGUUAUCAUUUUCUCCAAAUAGCAAUACUAUUAAUAGAGCAAUUUUAAGGCAGCACUUUAGAAAGAUGGAGUGUGUUAAGAAUUUCCUUCACUGAUAUAUCCUUUGUGUCUGUGUCAAUAUGAUAUGAAUGUCUUAUCACAAAUGAUUGAUGCCUCUGGCCACAUCUGUGGGAGAAGUGGAGAUAAGCUGUCAUGCUAAUCCUCCUUUUUCUGUCACCUUGAACAACCUUGUUUGUUACUAUCAUAUUGCCCUCAAAUGAGCACAGAUUCUUCAUCAACACAAAGAGGAAUAGACUGCCUAUCCAAGGCAAAUAAGAGUAACCUACACAUUUUCUAUUUGUAAGCUUUUGUUUAUAUAUUUAAAGACUAUGUAGACUAUGCAGUAUCAGAGAUUAAGCAGAUUACCCUUUGUUUGCUGUACUCUCAAUCUUGACUUCUUACUGGCAUUCAUACACAUCAUUAACCUUUUAAUGUAUUUCUUCUUUCAGUCGUUUAAUUACUUAAAUCAUUGUUAUCACUUGCUGAAAACUGAAACCCGUGGUUGAUGGGUCAAAAUAUUUGCUGAUUUGUGUUAUAAUCUACUUUUUGGUACUUCAUUUUCCAGAGAAAAAGCCAUGAUGUCAUUUUUUUUCCAUUUAAGAAGGAAAUGCUCUUUCCCCUACCCGCCCCUCCCAUUGGCCCCUAUUCUGUGGAAAUAUCAAAGAAUUUUAGUGCAGGAAGAAAAUGUUUAAAGAAGUUUUUUGCAACUUCCCCAAACAUGGGAGUUGCUAUCUUUUAUGGCAGUUCAAAUAAACCAACUUCUAACCAUCCCUCUCACUACAAAUUUACAGAAUUGACUAGUGUUAAUUGUUGACAGUCAGAGCAACAGCAAAAAAGAGAGGGCUUGAACACCUCUUCAGUCUAACUAAUGAUUUAUUUCCAUCUCCAAGAAGUCUGCCUGUUUUGAACCUGAGAUGUAUUUCUUCUUUGCAAGCUGAGAUAUCAUUGUGGCCUCUGUUGAGCUAGAGCUCAAGAAGUCAGUAUUUCUUUAAACACAUAAAUCAAUGGGGUUACGCUUGAGUUUUAAUAUCCAGUUUACUCAGGAUCAGUGCUCCAGAUAUCAGCACUCAAAUAGCUAAAUUCUUUCUUGCUUCUCAGCAAUGUGGGACACUAAGCCAUAAAGAAGAUGGAAAAAUAUACUUGUGAAACAGUAUGGUGUGUUAUCUAACAUGUUACAGUAGUUAUUUAAAAAGCACAGGCGUAUCCUUUGUGUGUGAUUAUCAAUACAUGAAGAAUUUUUUGCAUGUAGCUGGGGGAGCAGUUCACUAGCCAUAGUGAUUUAGAAAUUCAGGGCAAAGAAAGAUAAGUGGUGAAGUGUUGUAGUAUGGCAGUUAUAAGGUAGUUAUUAUCUAGCAGAGUUGAAAAGUUGAGAAGAAUGUGUAAAGAGCUAUAUUUUCAUAAAGAACCAAAGGACCCAGCUGCCUAUUGGUGCUGCCUUUCUGAUAUUCCAGAGGUUCCAGUUCAGACCAACCUAGAUGAAUUUUAGCUUCUUUUUGGUUCUUUUCAUAGUACUGUCAUCAUGCAAAUGUUCCACAUUAGCAAUGUUAUUUGAAAUUUUUUGUUGUACAUACUGUGUGCAUCUACUGUUCUUUCCAGGUUCUUUCCAGACAGGCGAUUCUUUAUUUUAUUCUCUGUAACUGUAGUGAAAAGAACAAAUGAGGACUGGGGAAUCAGUGAGACCUUUUAAAAUUAAAUUUGGAAAGCAGUUUAGAUGGUGCGAUAUAUUUCUAAUGCAAAAUCUGGAGAGAGAGUGUGCACACAUUUAUUUCUACAUACGUGCAUACAUGCACAUACAUUAAUUGAUAUUCAGAUUUUCUGCUCCUUUACAUAUCUGGUUGUUUGAUAUUUAAAUUCUGUGUUUCUGAAUGUCAUGAAAAUUCAGAGGAUUGAUUAAUAGAAGGAGAGAUUCACUUCCACGGUUACCUAAAAGAACUAAUGUCAUUUGGAGAAAAAACAGAAUGUGUAAGAUUGUGUUUUAAUUGUCUCAGACUCACUUGCCUGCUCCCAUAGCACAGAAUUUCUUGGAAGGAAUUAUCUCUGACUAGAAAGGCACAAUUCACACUGGACUUCGUUGUAGCUUUUCAGAAGCAGGAUGUUUUUCAUGAAAAAAACAUGUAGUUGAGAGCGUGCUCAGUACAGUGCGUUCUAAUACACAACACACAGUCUAGGUUCUCCUUGUAAUCUGUCAUUAAGAGAUAGGCUAUUCUGCCUUUCCCUCUUAGAAUACUAUGCUUUAACAUGUGUAACCUGCACUUAAGCAGCGUUCCUUGGAAGUUAUUUUUUACUUGAAUACCUCAACGUUAUCUAUGAAUGCUUUCUGUCUUGAAGCAGCCUUGGAUCCUGGGCAGGAUUUAAGCUACAGGAGCUAGCAGCACUUCUGGUAGAGGAAGUGACUUACGGGAACUGGAAGAAAUGAACUAGCUCAGGACUGUCUCCUUCACAAUAUUUCCACAACAACUUAUUUUGCACUUUUACAGGACCGCAGCAUAGUGGGGUCCAGUGUUGCUUUUAGUUUCCUGUGCAGCGUGUGCAAGCAUUUUAAUCUCAUGCAAUACUUAAAUUAUACCAUAGUGAAUUACCCCAAAUCAGUGCAUGUAUAUCUGUACCUCGUAGAUUCAGGAGAGAUUAUGCAUCUUGGCUUUUUUGGCUAUUUUGAUGUUCUUCAUUCUUGUUCAGUCACUUAUUACUCUGUUUUGUUCCUCCUUAGAAACAAGGUGACACAAGAGGAGCCUGGUUUUAUUCUGCUCAUUCAGGACUCGUAAUUUUAGCACAAGGGUAGAAACUUAAAAAUCAUUUUUCAAGAGGGGCCAUUACUCUGUUAACUGUUUCUUACACAUUUGGAAUAAAAAUAUCUAAAUAUCUCAUAGAAUGGUUAACAGUGGUGUGUACUUCAUUGAAUAAGGCGGCCAUUUUUUUUCAUUUUCAUAUUAUCCUUUAUAUGACUGAUGUACUCACUACUAUUGGCUUUGUUUGUGACAGAGUACCUGGCAAUUUACACAUGUGGGCAAGACUGUAUUGGAUGUGAUUGUAAGUGGAAGUACAUAUAUGGUUAUAAGAAGCAGCUUGAAGGAGAAACUUGAACUUCCAGAAACUUUAAAAGCUUCCCUUCCGAAACUGUGCAAUAUUCUUUCCAGUUAUCCAUUGUGAACAGAAAAAUUCUGAUGUGCAAGAAUAUAUUCAGGCCUUUCUUGGCAGGGUAGUGAAGUAACAGAAGUCAUAGGGCAUCUCUUGAUCCUAGAAUGAGGAGACAUUCUGGAAUAGGAGUCACCAAGAGAAGAUAAGCAAAGAUGUUUCUUGGUUGCAGUCAGGUGGAUUACUCCAAAUUGGAAAUGUAAAAGUUGUGUCUCAAGUGAAUAAUGCUCUUUGCCCGAGAGUACUGGAUUAAACUCCCUGCUGUGGAGUUCCUAAACACUAGAAGGAAGAAUGCUGAAAUGCUGGCCUAGUCAGUUAGUUUGCCCAAUUAGUUACAUUUGUUGCAUUUGUUUUACAGUGAAAAACAACUCCUAGGGUAGAGUAGAAACACGCUGAUGCUAACUAGUAGCUUGACAUUUAAAGUCAAUAAUUAAUACAUUGGAACUAGAGCCUGUCAGUUGCCAUGUUCAUGCAGCUUGCCUCUCACAGUGAAACAAGGAUUUCUUUUAAUUCUUUGUCCCGAGUUCGCUUUUGACCUGAAAAGUCUGUUUGGG
This 21755-nucleotide long non-coding RNA is filed under the name Gallus gallus (chicken). The record is from RNAcentral. Lineage: Eukaryota; Metazoa; Chordata; Aves; Galliformes; Phasianidae.